This 618-nucleotide ribosomal RNA is filed under the name uncultured fungus. RNAcentral describes it as "eukaryotic LSU rRNA". The stretch from base 226 to 379 matches the Rfam family "5.8S ribosomal RNA". The record is from RNAcentral. Lineage: Eukaryota; Fungi.
UUUAGAGGAAGUAAAAGUCGUAACAAGGUCUCCGUUGGUGAACCAGCGGAGGGAUCAUUACCGAGUUUACAAACUCCCAAACCCUUUGUGAACCUUACCUAUCGUUGCUUCGGCGGGACCGCCCCGGCGCCUUCGGGCAACGGAACCAGGCGCCCGCCGGAGGCCCCAAACUCUUAUGUCUUUAGUGGUUUUCUCCUCUGAGUGACACAUAAACAAAUAAAUAAAAACUUUCAACAACGGAUCUCUUGGUUCUGGCAUCGAUGAAGAACGCAGCGAAAUGCGAUAAGUAAUGUGAAUUGCAGAAUUCAGUGAAUCAUCGAAUCUUUGAACGCACAUUGCGCCCGCCAGUAUUCUGGCGGGCAUGCCUGUUCGAGCGUCAUUUCAACCCUCAGGCCCCCAGUGCCUGGCGUUGGGGAUCGGCGCGGGCCCGGCAUCCCUCCGGGGGUGCCGGCGCCUGCCGGCCCCGAAAUCUAGUGGCGGUCUCGCUGUAGUCCCCCUCUGCGUAGUAGCACAACUCGCAUUGGAGCUCGGCGGUGGCCAUGCCGUAAAACACCCCACUUCUGAAAGUUGACCUCGGAUCAGGUAGGAAUACCCGCUGAACUUAAGCAUAUCAAUAAG